Molecule: unclassified non-coding RNA, 219 nt
Filed under: Hevea brasiliensis (rubber tree)
Lineage: Eukaryota; Viridiplantae; Streptophyta; Magnoliopsida; Malpighiales; Euphorbiaceae
Source: RNAcentral
ACGGUCAUGUCCAAACAAACCCGGCCGCUCAGAGUUACAGGCACCGUACAGAACAUUAAAGACUAAAGAAUGGUCAAAGUCGGGGACCAAAUCCCGGAUCGAGUUCUGCAACUAGGUCGUCCAGGCCCCAUGGCCAUCAUUCUGCACAUUAUCCUCUAAUUUUUCUUAGGUAGGGACGCUUAGCUCGCAGGAUUCGCUGCUGCUUUUGAUUCUCUGGAG